Non-coding RNA from Lasiosphaeria miniovina, 79 nucleotides. NCBI's taxonomy places the organism in Eukaryota, Fungi, Ascomycota, Sordariomycetes, Sordariales, Lasiosphaeriaceae. The record is from the annotation of a RefSeq genome assembly.
GCCCGGCUAGCUCAAUCGGUAGAGCGUGAGACUCUUAUCGGAUAUCUCAAGGUUGUGGGUUCGACCCCCACGUCGGGCU